UAGGCAGGUCUAGUAUAAGCAUCUAUACUGUGAAACUGCGAAUGGCUCAUUAAAUCAGUUAUCGUUUAUUUGAUAGUACCUUACUACUUGGAUAACCGUGGUAAUUCUAGAGCUAAUACAUGCUAAAAACCUCGACUUCGGAAGGGGUGUAUUUAUUAGAUAAAAAACCAAUGCCCUUCGGGGCUCCUUGGUGAUUCAUAAUAACUUAACGAAUCGCAUGGCCUUGUGCCGGCGAUGGUUCAUUCAAAUUUCUGCCCUAUCAACUUUCGAUGGUAGGAUAGUGGCCUACCAUGGUUUCAACGGGUAACGGGGAAUUAGGGUUCUAUUCCGGAGAGGGAGCCUGAGAAACGGCUACCACAUCCAAGGAAGGCAGCAGGCGCGCAAAUUACCCAAUCCCGACACGGGGAGGUAGUGACAAUAAAUACUGAUACAGGGCUCUUUUGGGUCUUGUAAUUGGAAUGAGUACAAUUUAAAUCCCUUAACGAGGAACAAUUGGAGGGCAAGUCUGGUGCCAGCAGCCGCGGUAAUUCCAGCUCCAAUAGCGUAUAUUAAAGUUGUUGCAGUUAAAAAGCUCGUAGUUGAACCUUGGGCCUGGCUGGCCGGUCCGCCUCACCGCGUGCACUGGUCCGGCCGGGCCUUUCCUUCUGGGGAGCCGCAUGCCCUUCACUGGGUGUGUCGGGGAACCAGGACUUUUACUUUGAAAAAAUUAGAGUGUUCAAAGCAGGCCUAUGCUCGAAUACAUUAGCAUGGAAUAAUAGAAUAGGACGUGUGGUUCUAUUUUGUUGGUUUCUACGACCGCCGUAAUGAUUAAUAGGGAUAGUCGGGGGCAUCAGUAUUCAAUUGUCAGAGGUGAAAUUCUUGUAUUUAUUGAAGACUAACUACUGCGAAAGCAUUUGCCAAGGAUGUUUUCAUUAAUCAGUGAACGA
Molecule: ribosomal RNA, 926 nt
Filed under: Phacidium subcorticalis
Lineage: Eukaryota; Fungi; Ascomycota; Leotiomycetes; Phacidiales; Phacidiaceae
Description: SSU rRNA
Rfam family: Eukaryotic small subunit ribosomal RNA
Source: RNAcentral